AAACAUGUCUCUUUGAUUAAAUAUAUAUAAAGAGUUUGACCUGCCCAGUGAUAUAAUUUAACGGCCGCAGUACUCUGACUGUGCAAAGGUAGCAUAAUAAUUUGCCUUAUAAUUGAUGGCUAGUAUGAAGGGUUUGACGAAAGCAUUGCUGUCUCAAGUAUAUUUUUUAUAAUUUAUCUUUUAGGUUAAAAGACUUAAAUAAAACUAAAGGACGAGAAGACCCUAUCGAGCUUUAAAGAAAUUUUAAGAAAAGUAUGUUAUUAAUAUUUAUUUUCUUAGGAAAUUUUUGGUUGGGGCGACCUAGGAACAAAUAAAGCUUCCUUAAAUAAAUAAUAACGCAAGGAUCCAAUAUUAUAUUGAUAAAUGGAAUUAGUUACCGUAGGGAUAACAGCGUUAUUUUUUCUGAAAGAUCUUAUUGAAGAAAAAGUUUGCGACCUCGAUGUUGGAUUGAGAUAACUUAAAGGUGCAGAAGCUUUUGUAAGUUAGUCUGUUCGACUAUAAAAAUCUCACAUGAU
RNAcentral lists this ribosomal RNA (515 nucleotides) under Cochlostoma jakschae. RNAcentral describes it as "partial 16S ribosomal RNA". It matches the Rfam family "Bacterial large subunit ribosomal RNA", at positions 1811 to 2604 of the family's 2925-position model. Lineage: Eukaryota; Metazoa; Mollusca; Gastropoda; Architaenioglossa; Cochlostomatidae. The record is from RNAcentral.